UUCUUCUCUCAUACUCUUUGUGGAUUAGGGUUUUUUGGUUUCCAUUGUUCCUCUUCAUCAGAUAAUCCCUCAUUCGCAUUCUGUUUGGAGAAAACCUAGCCGCAGUACAUGGAAUCAAGGUAUUCAUCUUCUUUUUCUAUCAUUCAGAUCAAGAAACUGAACAUUCUUGACCCAGAUCGCACUCUGUUUCCUCUUUCAACAAAUCGAUCAUCAAAUCGGAGCUACAACUAUUCUCAUCUACUUAUUCUUCUUCAAUCAACAGGCGCCAGUUGUUUGCAGCCCUGUUUCGCAUGGAUUAUCCAAUUUUUGGUGCGAAGUUGAGGAAGUUAUCGCAGAGGAGAUUCAUGCCUCCGGUGGAUUCGCAAUGGUAUUAGGAAAUUCUCCUCCACAUUCAGGUUCACUUCCUCCCUUUGUUACUCUUUGUACGCAUAUGUAGUGGGGUAUAUUGCAGGGUGAUUUUUAUACUCGCGUUUUCUUUCAUCAGCAAGGCCAAAAGUGAAAAUAUCUCUAUAAAGGAUUCGUUAAUAGGCGGCAGCUUACUAUUGACUUACACAACUGGCUAUGUUGCUCCUCUGCUCUGCUUCUUUUGUUGGAGCGUUGGAGUUUAUAUUAGCUAAAAAGGGUGCGUUAGGGACGGUAUGGAUCGCGACGCAUCUGGAUAGCUGCAUAAUUGGUGGCCAUUCAAUGCUAGAAGAUGCUAACAUUAAGGAUAUGAAGGAUGUGGAAUGUUUAAUCCGUCCCCCAGUCAAAGAUAACAACAGUCCACCAACCCAGAAAUCAAAUUGAUGUGCUGUCUGUUGAGACUAAAGCUCUUCUUUACCCGCUCAAUGGUUUGCCCAAAUCAUUCGAUUCUAAACGAGCGUGUCAAGAAGCGUAACACCGCUUUUCAUAUAGCCGAUAGGAAAUGCCGAUAAGAGGCUGAUAAAGUAAAAGGGGAAAGCUAAUCAUCUCUAAAGUGCAAUUCAUAUGUAGUAAGACAAGAUGCGCAACACUAGAGUCGGAAUAGGGAGCGGCAUAAGAGACUAUAUUAGCUGGUGGCCAUACAACUAGCUACAAACGGUUGUUGAAAGUGCAACUACAUUGAAGGUGCAUCUGCAAAUUGGGCAAUUGCGUUUGGAAUUGUACUCUCAUCAUAAAAUAAUUCACUAAUUGGUUCAUAAUCUUAGUUGGGAUAUACUUUUUUUACAUUUAUAAGUAACUUUUCUAUUUAUAUGAAUAACACAUGAUGUGUUGGUCUCA
RNA transcript from Helianthus annuus (common sunflower), 1239 nucleotides. RefSeq lists it as uncharacterized. The transcript has 9 exons. The record is from RefSeq and is a predicted model, not a curated record. NCBI's taxonomy places the organism in Eukaryota, Viridiplantae, Streptophyta, Magnoliopsida, Asterales, Asteraceae.